GGCUUAACACAUGCAAGUCGAGCGGAGAUGAGGUGCUUGCACCUUAUCUUAGCGGCGGACGGGUGAGUAAUGCUUAGGAAUCUGCCUAUUAGUGGGGGACAACAUUCCGAAAGGAAUGCUAAUACCGCAUACGUCCUACGGGAGAAAGCAGGGGAUCUUCGGACCUUGCGCUAAUAGAUGAGCCUAAGUCGGAUUAGCUAGUUGGUGGGGUAAAGGCCUACCAAGGCGACGAUCUGUAGCGGGUCUGAGAGGAUGAUCCGCCACACUGGGAGUGAGACACGGCCCAGACUCCUACGGGAGGCAGCAGUGGGGAAUAUUGGACAAUGGGGGGAACCCUGAUCCAGCCAUGCCGCGUGUGUGAAGAAGGCCUUAUGGUUGUAAAGCUC
This 386-nucleotide ribosomal RNA is filed under the name uncultured organism. RNAcentral's name for it is "bacterial SSU rRNA". It matches the Rfam family "Bacterial small subunit ribosomal RNA", at positions 45 to 433 of the family's 1533-position model. The record is from RNAcentral.